GGUGCUGUAGCCUAGUGGUUUAGGCGAUAGACUAGAAAUCUUUUGGGAUAUUCCCGAGCAGGUUCGAAUCCUGCCGACGACG
RNAcentral lists this transfer RNA (82 nucleotides) under Dreissena polymorpha. It matches the Rfam family "tRNA". Rfam says of the family: Transfer RNA (tRNA) molecules are approximately 80 nucleotides in length. Their secondary structure includes four short double-helical elements and three loops (D, anti-codon, and T loops). Lineage: Eukaryota; Metazoa; Mollusca; Bivalvia; Myida; Dreissenidae. The record is from Rfam by way of RNAcentral.